This 525-nucleotide ribosomal RNA is filed under the name bacterium GFCr-6. Its description in RNAcentral is "bacterial SSU rRNA". It matches the Rfam family "Bacterial small subunit ribosomal RNA", at positions 8 to 524 of the family's 1533-position model. The record is from RNAcentral.
AGAGUUUGAUCCUGGCUCAGAUUGAACGCUGGCGGCAGGCCUAACACAUGCAAGUCGAACGGUAGCACAGAGAGCUUGCUCUCGGGUGACGAGUGGCGGACGGGUGAGUAAUGUCUGGGAAACUGCCUGAUGGAGGGGGAUAACUACUGGAAACGGUAGCUAAUACCGCAUAACGUCGCAAGACCAAAGAGGGGGACCUUCGGGCCUCUUGCCAUCAGAUGUGCCCAGAUGGGAUUAGCUAGUAGGUGGGGUAACGGCUCACCUAGGCGACGAUCCCUAGCUGGUCUGAGAGGAUGACCAGCCACACUGGAACUGAGACACGGUCCAGACUCCUACGGGAGGCAGCAGUGGGGAAUAUUGCACAAUGGGCGCAAGCCUGAUGCAGCCAUGCCGCGUGUAUGAAGAAGGCCUUCGGGUUGUAAAGUACUUUCAGCGGGGAGGAAGGUGUUGUGGUUAAUAACCGCAGCAAUUGACGUUACCCGCAGAAGAAGCACCGGCUAACUCCGUGCCAGCAGCCGCGGUAAU